Molecule: ribosomal RNA, 253 nt
Filed under: uncultured bacterium
Lineage: Bacteria
Description: partial 16S ribosomal RNA
Rfam family: Bacterial small subunit ribosomal RNA
Source: RNAcentral
UACGUAGGGGGCGAGCGUUGUCCGGAAUCACUGGGCGUAAAGCGCGCGUAGGCGGCCGUGAGAGCCUGCCGUGAAAGCCCCUGGCUCAACCGGGGGAGGACGGCGGGGACCUUAGGGCUGGAGGCCGGUAGGGGAAGGUGGAAUUCCCGGUGUAGUGGUGGAAUGCGUAGAGAUCGGGAGGAACACCGGUGGCGAAGGCGGCCUUCUGGGCCGGGCCUGACGCUGAGGCGCGAAGGCGUGGGGAGCGAUCCGG